UGAGCAACCUGCCCUUGACUCUGGAAUAACAGCUGGAAACAGCUGCUAAUACCGGAUAUGACCUCUUCCGACAUCGGGCGAGGUGGAAAGCUCCGGCGGUCAAGGAUGGGCUCGCGGCCUAUCAGCUAGUUGGUGAGGUAACGGCUCACCAAGGCAACGAUGCGUAGCCGACCUGAGAGGGUGAUCGGCCACAUUGGAACUGAGACACGGUCCAGAUCCUACGGGG
This 226-nucleotide ribosomal RNA is filed under the name uncultured bacterium. RNAcentral's name for it is "partial 16S ribosomal RNA". It matches the Rfam family "Bacterial small subunit ribosomal RNA", at positions 118 to 346 of the family's 1533-position model. The record is from RNAcentral.